This 253-nucleotide ribosomal RNA is filed under the name uncultured bacterium. RNAcentral's name for it is "partial 16S ribosomal RNA". It matches the Rfam family "Bacterial small subunit ribosomal RNA", at positions 524 to 776 of the family's 1533-position model. The record is from RNAcentral.
UACGAAGGGGACUAGCGUUGUUCGGAAUUACUGGGCGUAAAGCGCGUGUAGGCGGAUGAGCAAGUCUGCUGUGAAAGCUCCUGGCUUAACCGGGAGUGGUCGGUGGAAACUGCUCGUCUGGAGGACGGUAGAGGUAGGUAGAAUUCCCGGUGUAGUGGUGAAAUGCGUAGAGAUCGGGAGGAAUACCUGUGGCGAAGGCGGCCUACUGGGCCGGACCUGACGCUGAGACGCGAAGGCGUGGGGAGCGAACGGG